This 503-nucleotide ribosomal RNA is filed under the name uncultured bacterium. Its description in RNAcentral is "partial 16S ribosomal RNA". It matches the Rfam family "Bacterial small subunit ribosomal RNA", at positions 30 to 523 of the family's 1533-position model. The record is from RNAcentral.
AUUGAACGCUGGCGGCAGGCUUAACACAUGCAAGUCGAGCGGGGUGAUGGUGCUUGCACUAUCACUUAGCGGCGGACGGGUGAGUAAUGCUUAGGAAUCUGCCUAUUAGUGGGGGACAACAUCCCGAAAGGGAUGCUAAUACCGCAUACGUCCUACGGGAGAAAGCAGGGGAUCACUUGUGACCUUGCGCUAAUAGAUGAGCCUAAGUCGGAUUAGCUAGUUGGUGGGGUAAAGGCCUACCAAGGCGACGAUCUGUAGCGGGUCUGGGAGGAUGAUCCGCCACACUGGGACUUAGACACGGCCCAGACUCCUACGGGAGGCAGCAGUGGGGAAUAUUGGACAAUGGGGGGAACCCUGAUCCAGCCAUGCCGCGUGUGUGAAGAAGGCCUUAUGGUUGUAAAGCACUUUAAGCGAGGAGGAGGCUCUUUUGGUUAAUACCCAAGAUGAGUGGACGUUACUCGCAGAAUAAGCACCGGCUAACUCUGUGCCAGCCGCCGCCGUAA